Rhinopithecus roxellana (golden snub-nosed monkey) is the source of this 1953-nucleotide long non-coding RNA. The record is from Ensembl. Lineage: Eukaryota; Metazoa; Chordata; Mammalia; Primates; Cercopithecidae.
GUGCCUGAUGCCUGCUGUCCGUCAGCAGCCUCCCUUACAAUCUUUUUUUCUCUCUCUCCCUUUUUUUUCCCUUGCCUUCUCCUUCUUCACUGAAGCCUAGGGGAGCCAGUAAAGAUUAAAUGUGCUUCUCAAAGGCAGCCACUUCAUGCUGCUAUGUCGAAAGGGCCAUUAUUAUUAUUAUAUUUUAAUAGUAAAAGAGAAAGGGAGAGAGGUUGAGCGAGCGAGAGAGAAGCUAGGUGUGAUGAUGACAGACUAGCUUUUCUGAGAGGAAAAGGAAAAGGGAAGGGAAAAGAAAAGGAGAGCCCCUGAGCUCAACGGAGGAUUGUGCCUGAGAAGAACCUACAGAGGAGGCUGUGCGGGCCCGCUCCGCUUCGAAUGGAUGAAAAAAUGCUAGGCACACAGUGCUGCUGUCUGGUUGCCAUGGAGACCACAGCCUAUUAUCCUGCCUUGUCAUUCAUCAAGAAAGAAUUACACUUGACAGAGGCAGAGGAAAAUGCCUGCAGUCUGCAGCAUAGGAGGAAAAAAAGCUUUUCUUGUCUUCUAUAUGUCCCUUAGGCUAAUGUUUGCACUGAAGAAUGAAAUGAACAGGCAGAAACAAUUAAGCGAGCAGAUACAGUGAAAACGAGCACCACACCGCACUUUCACAGAAAUGGAAGUGUAUGAAGGAAUUCUGCUUGGAAUUUGAUCCCACAGCAGCAAAGCUUUUGCUCCUUGUCAUUUUUCUUCUGCCUACCCCCAGUGCACACCACUUCCCCUGUAUGGGGGAAAAAGAUCUAGGCAUACAAAGGAACUCCUAAAUACUCACAGGCGUGGGAAAUAUUUUCUCUGCUUGUUACUAGUACAAGAUAAUCUCCAAGGAAGAAAAUCCAACUAGAUAUUCUACACUGCAAAUGUCUCCCAAAGCCUGUUAAAUGUUCACAUAUGUCUUUAUGAAAUUUGUAAUAUGGAUUGUUUAUAUAGUCCUGAUUAAGAGCAUGAACAUCAUUAAAAAGGAUAAAGUCAGUUUGAGGAUGGAAAAUUAUAAAGUCAGCUAAAACUGUUACCCACGAAAAAAGUGUGGACUUUUUUUUUAACUUAAUAAUCUGCGUCUCUUUAAAGAAAAAGAUCCAUAAACAGUCAAAAGUGAGUUGUUAAAGGGCCUUCUAAAGUGUAUCAGGAAUUAACAAAGAAGUAAUUAACUCUACCCCAAACAAAUCAGCCAUCACGUGUUUAUAGCAUUUUUGUCCCUCUGUGAAAGCUAUAUCUUCUUUUUUAGUCCCACACUAAGAGAUUUUACGUUGCAAGAGCUUGGCAUUCCUAUUUUUGGAUUGACUGUGUUAAAACAGGGUGCUAUAAUACACAAAGGAGACCUGUUACAACAUAGCAAAGUAAAGGGUCUUAAGGAAGUGGCAUCAUAGGAUCCAUUCUGGGAGAAUCUAUAUUAUUAUCAGAUACAAUGCUUGUAUGAUUGAUUCAAGAUGAGCUCUGUCUGAAUUCAAACUUUAUUUCUAAAGACAGUAUGCAUUUGGAAAUUGCCUUGUGAAACCGUCAGAAUACAGAAAACACAAAGUUUAAACCUUUUGGAUGCCUUCUAGUACCUCAGCAGUGAAUCAGGAAGAUGGACGGCAUCCGUAAGAUUAUACUGAGCGGAAGGCAUGGUUUUUGUUUUUUAUUGAAUCCAUCCUGUAGUAUUUUCCCAAUAAAACACCUCUUGUAAACCAGGGUCUUUGUAUUUUUGUUGUUGUUAUGGGAUUUUUUAAAAUACCAGUAUAAUAGUUUUACUCUACAAUAGUGAAGAUGGGAAGACAGCUGCUAGUAAACAUAAAACCAGUCAUAUAAUGGCAUUACAAUGGAUUUUUUAUUUGAGAUUCCAGGAUGGGGUAAAUUUGUUACCCCAGCAAAUAGCUGGUUACACGGAAACUGACUUUAGGGAACAUUUCCCUGGAAAAGAAGCCAAUUUAUAUUGGUCAAAAC